This 253-nucleotide ribosomal RNA is filed under the name uncultured bacterium. RNAcentral describes it as "partial 16S ribosomal RNA". It matches the Rfam family "Bacterial small subunit ribosomal RNA", at positions 524 to 776 of the family's 1533-position model. The record is from RNAcentral.
UACGGAGGGUGCAAGCGUUAUCCGGAUUCACUGGGUUUAAAGGGCGCGUAGGUGGGCAGGUAAGUCAGUGGUGAAAUCUCCGGGCUUAACCCGGAAACUGCCAUUGAUACUAUCAGUCUUGAAUACCGUGGAGGUAAGCGGAAUAUGUCAUGUAGCGGUGAAAUGCUUAGAUAUGACAUAGAACACCAAUUGCGAAGGCAGCUUACUACCCGAAUAUUGACACUGAGGCACGAAAGCGUGGGGAUCAAACAGG